AUGGUAGUUUGGUUCACAGCUAGAUAAUCUACUCCUAAGAUUACGUCAAUGUCUCCCAUUGGUAUAACAUACGAGUUAUUCACCAUGGCUUUGAGUGAAUUUAUGCUCAGCUUUAAGCUCAUGCACACAUGUGUUAUUGUUGUUGUUGUUGUUUUUGGCGUGGUUACUACUCUUGGUGUGGUUGGGGCAAAACAUGGAUUGCUUGCAGAUACGGAGCCUGGACAAGCAAGUUCAGCAUAGACCCGUCCCUUGUUCCUUAUUCAAACAACGGUUUGCAUAAUGCCCUUCUGGCUACUGUGUAACAACCUUCACUUCCACUCUUCCAUUAUUGCAUCAUCUCCCAUGGUUCUUGUUGCAAUUUGGGCAGGGCAGGAUUCUUUGUUGGUUAUCUCCUAUCUGUCUAGGAGUACCCUUUUGGCUUUUGUAGCCUUGUUGCUGGAAUGAUUGCCCUUGCCAUGGUGUUUUUUUUUUUUUUUUUUUUUUUUUUUCUUGACAGUUGUUACUGUUGUCCUCUUUUCUUUUUCCUCAAAUGUUCUGAGUUUGUGCCUGUGGAGGUGUUGGCAUAGGCAUCCUUACUGGUCUUUCUAUCGACAUCGAUGCCCUAAUGUUUAAUGCUCUUCUAAGCGCAGUGUAAGACAAUCCACCAUGGCUUGCCAAAGCCAUCCUAAUCUCGUGCCUCAGAGCGGCACAAAGUUUUUCAGCCCCCCCCCCUUUUUUUUUAUCCA
Molecule: long non-coding RNA, 725 nt
Filed under: Salvia miltiorrhiza (redroot sage)
Lineage: Eukaryota; Viridiplantae; Streptophyta; Magnoliopsida; Lamiales; Lamiaceae
Description: long non-coding RNA (SMIL_LNC012651)
Source: RNAcentral